This is a long non-coding RNA of Gallus gallus (chicken), 7052 nucleotides long. NCBI's taxonomy places the organism in Eukaryota, Metazoa, Chordata, Aves, Galliformes, Phasianidae. The record is from Ensembl.
CAUUCAUGUCUGUCAGACAAACAUGCCUGCCCUGUGCACACCCAUGUAUGCACUUGCUGUCUCUGCAAGCAUACGGUUUCCUGAUGAUGUAAACACACUGGGUGUUGUUGAAUUGGCCUAAAUCGUUCUGAUCCUUAGGUUUCUCUUUCCCUUCAUAUUACAUUGUUCUAUGCUUAGAUGUAUCUUGCUAUUAUCUGGUUGACACCAGCAAAAGGCACAUGGUCAUUCUGGAGUCUGCUAAAUCUUACAAGCAUAUCUUAUAAGAAGUAUCCAAAAAAACCCACUCUGACUAUUGUUUCACUCUGAAUUUUAUGCACAAGCCAAUGGAGCUUUGCGCAUGCUUGAUCACUAGUUUCUGGAAGAGGACUGGAGGGAUGAAUAGGCCAUACUGCCAGCAGUGCAUGACAUUGCUGAUAAGAUACCCAAACUGGCACUGGGACAACUCACAGGAUUUACAGCUGCCUCAAUGUGGAACAGGACAGUUUGCCUUUUGCCAAGAAAGUCCUACUUUUGGCUUGCAGCAGUAGGGAGGAGAAGUAACAGCCCUCCCUGGAGAUUGCACUUGGUCACCCAGAUGAAAGAGAGGGAAAGACAGCAAAGAAAUAUAUGUUCUCCAGAGGAAAUGAAAAAGGAAAAUGGUCAGACAAAUGCUAUAUGUGCCUUUGAUCUAAAAGGACAGAAGAUAAGAUCUAAGGCUGACAGAAAAGCAGAGUGUUUGCAGGCUGUUAAGUUGGGAAAAAUCCUUCCAAAAAGAAAGAAAGGAUGUGAAGAGAACUGGCUGGCUGGAAAGAGAAGAAAGAACAGAUGUGAGAGAUGUUCCUGGGAAGUUCAAAACACUUCUACAUGGCAGAAUGAGACCAUCAGCAAAGAGAGGAUGAGACUGUGGAAAAAGGACAAAAAGCAGUGAUAGGGAAGCACAGAACAGUGGCUGAGCAUGGAAAUCCUGAAGACUAAGGAGAACUCCCUGGAUGAAAGCUGCAGAAACGGCUGCAGAAACACAAUGCUCCUGAGCCUGUGAGUUAGGCACAGCUCAAGCUCAGGAAGCCACAUCUCCAGGCCAGCACCUUUUGUUCCUUGUUUCAAGAUAAGGGGCUAAAAAGGUCUGGUCUCCAUGUCAGGAGAUCACCUGCACUGUCAGCCAGGGUGGUGGGCACAGCACGAGGUCUGUGGUUUCUCCCCAUGUUUGGCAGAGAAUGUCUCUGGAGUCUGCCAGGGCUGAGGUCUAAACCAAAAUUAGGGGAGACUGCCAAAUCAAGCACGCAGGCUGCUGGACAUGAAAGGACACCCGACUGGCUCUGUGUCCAUUCCCAUUGCCUUCUCCCUGGAAAGAGACAGAGGCUACAGAACACUUUGGAGUAGAAAAAAGAGCCAAGAUCACUUAGAAAUGUUGGCCUGCUGUAUGUGUGAGAUAUAAAUACUCCCUCAUUGUGGAUGGAGGUUUGGGAGGCUUCAGACUGACUGGAGACAUCAUGUUGUCACACGCCAGCCCGUUGGAAAGCAGCUGGAAAGUCACCACAGAACAAAUUACUAUUCACAGGACAAAUCCCUAAAACAAUGCCUGUCCUUCAAGUCCUGGUGGCUCAGCAGGACAUAGCACGGUUUAGGACACUGGGGCAUCAGCUGCCCAGCCAGAGGACCUUGGUGGCCUGUUGCCAAGAGGCUAAGGUCUGUGCCCCAUUUGCGUGUGCUCAGUAAGAUAUUAAGCAGUGUUCAGUGAACACAUUCGGAGCCCUGCAAGUAACCACAGCACUUCAUCAAACUCAGAGGGAGGAGGGUUUGCACUAUGCUUUGAGAAGCAAGGGGAUGAGAAAUAUCAAAUACGAGACAGUCACGGCAACCACACUCUGAAACCAAGGCUUUAUUUUUGACACAACGCACAGUGUUUUCAAACUGUUAAAUGACCAUCUUUCCUGGGCUUGUGCAGACCUGCAAUAGGAAAUGCCUGCUCACAGGUGUAUAAGUAUUUCCAAAGAGCUUUGUAACAAACAACAGCUCAUAUAUGCAACCAUCACCAACUAAGCAACUAUACAAAUUCACUGUGCUUUCUUGACAAUCUAAACUGUGGCACCAUAAUUUGAUCAGUUCUACCUCAGCUUUCAUUUCAUCUUCUUCCAGGAUCAUCCCAUGAUGAGAUGUGUAGGAGCAUGAGAAUGGUGAGGACACCAGCACUCUCUGCAGCCUCCCCUUUUUAAAACCAGGAAGCAGAUAGGAGAGGAAGGACAUAAACCUCUCUUACCUUCCCAGGAUUGGAAAGCUCUAGCAAAGACUUUCUGUGAGGUGUCCUACCUGCUUGUCCUGCAUGUAGUCAACAGAGACUCCAUGUGCUUUAAUUGUCCCAGCUUCCGAGCCAAGAAACUCCAUGGUUUCCUGUUGAUUUGGGCUUUACUCCUGCACAGAUUACCUGAACCUUCCCAACCUGAUGCUUGCAUGUCAGUGAAGUCGUGUAAAUAAGAUAUCAGGCAUGCUGUUUCUUCUGGCACAUGCAAGGCAUAAUGAAGAUGGCAACAGACCUUGGAAGCCUAACAGCAGCAAUCUGGCUUGCAGAAAUAGAAGUGUGAGUCACUUCUUUAGAAUCCCCAGUUCUGCACACUCACAAACUGACACAGAGAGGUACCUUCAGCAGACAUCUGAGUGUGCGCUCAGGGUUAUCCGAGAGAGCACAGGGUAUAUCCUGGGUGGUUCUCUCUGCCUUCUAUUCAAGGAGAUAGGGGAAGAAAUAGCCAUAUGCCCAUGGCGUGGCUAAACUCUAUAGGCAUAAUCAAAAAUGUCACACAGGAUGUUAUCUAGGUUUCCUGCCUUUUUUUCAUGCAUGUUGCUGCAGCAGCAGAUUCAGUGUUUCUCUACAACUAACAAAGAAAAUUUAGACAAAGGUAUCUUAGGAUCAAAUAUACUAAUCCAGGAUCCUGGAUGAGGGAUGGAUUUCUUCUCUAUUGUCCCGGUGGGGAAGACUAGAUACUGAAGAGACAGACAUUCCUGCAGUGGGUGUGUUGAGGAAAAAAUUGGCCGUCAGACACAUUCAGCUGAUGGAGUUACAUGUCACACCCAAAGUGUAACACUGCCCAGUGCUUGCCUCGAGGUCUUCCACAGUAUACAGUCUCCUGAUUUUACUUCUUACGUACUAUGGAAGAGGCAGAGGAGUCCUCUGGGACUGAGCACACCUUUUCUACCUGCACUCUGGCAGACAACUCCAGCCCCAGGGAGCCCAGGAGGUCCCUCACUGCGGUAACUCUACAAGUUGUUUGGAGAUCAGCAACCUAGGGGAUAGUUGCAGCCUCUGGCAUGCCUUCUCCCUAUUAACCUGCAUAAAUCAGUGAGUUCGCAAAGAACUUAAACAGAUGAAAAACUGUCAUCUAAUAAGAAAGAUGUAAAUCUAUUUCAUUCUUGAUCCUGAAUUUAUAUACUGAGUUAAUUUAGAUACAGUAUUGGGUGGAUAUGUAGGAUCAGAAUUACUGCUAAUGUUCAGAAUGUUCAGAAUGCCUGAUUCAUAUGUGAGUUCUUCUGACAUAAGUAUCAGAAUGCUGAUAGACAUAGUGUACAAGUAAAAAUCUGGUACCUCAGGUAAUCACAAGGUUCUAUCAGUAUCUCUUUCAAGGAUAGUUUGAUCCUUCCCAUUCCUCCAAAGCUGAAUGUCUAAAGAGAGCUGUGUUGUUGCUGUGAAUGGAGAUCUGCAUGUAUUUUUUUCCUUCGUGUGUUUUACAGGGAAAAAAUAGUGAUAAGAGGAACCAAAGGGAAUGAAUCUUUGAUGAUGUCCUUGUCACUUGAAACCAUUCACUGGAACAAGGAGAAGUCACCUGUACACCCUUGUUUUUUUCAUAGGAGACAUCUGUAACAAAGAUGCAAACUGGUUUAUUCACAUCCUGGAAGUCAGCAUUGACCAGCUGGUUACUGAGCCACUGUUUCUACACAGACAGAGCCACAUGCCCUCCAAGUACUUCAUCUUUUCUUACUCCUUAAUUGGAAAAAAUGUUGAUGGGAUGACACAUAAUCAGUAAUUUUGUCUUACUAAAGACAAGACAAAUGACUGCAGCAUCUUAGCAUGAGAUUUGCUGUUGCUGUGGAAUCACUGUGGCCACUGAUUUGUUGCUUCAGUUGAUGCUUUCUGACCUUCCGCAAGUAAUGCAUUAUUUCACUUAAGCUUCAAACGUGAAGCAAUAUGGUAAUCUGCUAUUGCUUCAGCAAGUUUUCUGAUUAUCGACCUUGAAGUAUGCAUACAAGCUAUCAUUGUUUUCAUCAUUUUGUUUUCUCAUUCCCACUGGUGGUUGACGCUAGCUCCACUUGAAAACAAGAUUUUCUUGACUGACUUUAAUUUAUGACCUAGCUACACUCAUUUUAAGCUUGCUCAACUUCCUUCAAGGCAGAGUCACUUAGCAUUAGCAUCACAGGUAACUCUCCUUUCCUAAGCGUGUUAACUUGGAAGAUUUUAUGGAGACUUUUUCCUGCAUAAUUUAGAACUCGUGAAAAAUGAAAAAGAUAUAGGCUAAAAACAGGACAUGGAAAGCUCAGAGCGCAUUCCUAUGCACGAAAAGUACUGGGGGAAGCUCCAUAAGACUGCAGGAGUGCCACAGUUAAUGCAGAAAUUUAAUUACAGUCUGUGCUUCCUAGGAGUGAAGGGGACUCUCAGGACUUCACACAGCAUGGCAGCAACAUGGGGGAAAAGGGCUACAGUGCAGAAUGCCCUAGAAAACCAAGAAAAUGCUCUGAAACAGCACUUAAGGGAAACAGAGCUCCUAAAGGAGGAUGUAGAAAGAACAGACAGGAAAUGUGAUCCCUCCAGCAGCCUGGGUGGAUGGAAAUCCUUGGGUCUCUCACCACAGAGCAUCCUCUCUGGGUCUUAUUCACUCUCAGUGCUUUUCCUUGUUCCAUCUUCACUGCCCCAGCAUCACACUGAGAGCAGUACGGCUACUCAGAGCAGCAGCCACUCCAAGAAGAGCCUCAUUAGUAUCAAACACAGUGCCAGAAUGCGCCUUGUCAUUGCAGGUGACUUUUUGGCACCACCCCCCGUGGCUUUCUGCUCAGAUGUGACCAUGGAUAGGAUCUUCACCUCCACACAGCUGAGGGUCCUGUGGCAUUCCUGGUGUGUGGAAGAGGACAGGAAGGCCCCAUCUGCAGGGAUGUUUUCAAUUCUCCCUGACUUUGGUCAAGACUGCAGAAUUCAUAGAUCCUCUUGCUCUAAUCAGAGAGGCCUUGUGGAGCUGUUUAUCUACCAAAUUUCCCAGCACCUCUUUCCACUGGUUACUUUCUUGUCUGGUAUGCCUGGUUUAUAUUUGCACCCAGGUACAUCAUCUUAUAGUUGGCUUUUCUGAGUUGCACAGUGCUUUUCCACGGAGCCACCCAGAGCAAUCUGUAUCACCAUCUGCCUCUCUUCCAAUUCUUCCUCUUUAUCUCAAUUGGAAGUUCUUUUUGCAAUGUUGUUUUAUCAGUUUUGUUUUAUCAGGCCAUUGAUCAAAUUAUAAAAUGUCAGAAAGCUCUGUAGAAGUACACUUAACUGGUAAGUGCUCAUAUGCAAUUUCAUUUGUGACACACUAGAGUACUUAAUCUAUUUAAUGUUUUGAUGGGCUAUUGACACUUAAAUACAAAUAUCAUACGAAUCCAAAUACAAUAUCUCUUUAUAUCAGCACCUACGCUGCAAACACUCAACAAGCAAUCUCAAAAAACAAAACUAAAUGAAAAAACAGCCUACUUUGGAAAGACGUAUGUACAGCAGUUCUUCGCAUCUUGGCUUACAUUAUAUUACCAUCUCUCAGUUUUUGAUUCACUGAAAUCUGCAUUAAUGUUACUUUUCCUAAGAUGAAGAUCAGAAUGCGUCCUAGACUUACUUGUCUGCUUUACACUUUUAAUUAUUAGCUCAGCUAUGGCACUAUCCCUCUUCUUUGGAAUUUUUCCAGUGCCCCAGAAGGUAUUCAGAGUCAGUUUUGUUUAUUUACAAGUUUUUAUGGGUUUUUUGUUUUAAGUGUUCAGAUUUAAAUUGUCUUGAUUUACUCAUUUCCCAAAGGCUUCUUAAUAGCUUCACUUUUCUAUUAUCUUCUAAGAUCUUUCAAGAAAGAGUGUUUCACUGCCAUUAUCAAGCAUGAUUUGUUAUAAAAAACAUGUACCUGUCAUUUGUGAUAGUCCAUAAUAAUUAUUGACAGUUUCUCUAUUUCAAAACAGUUUUAUCAAUUACUUCUGUUCCUGCAUAUCUGCUGUUACUCACAUUAGGUUCUUUCUUGUGCUCUUUUCCUUUCCCUGAUAGUAUUUUACAGUAUAUUGGCCUCCUAGUUACAUAUGCAUUGUGAUCAUUUUUCUCCUUCUCUUUGAAUUUUGUCACAUUUCAUUUUCCUUCAUAAAUUUGUUUUAAAAUCAAUGUAAAUUUCUGUUUUGAACAUAGAUUGCUGUUUUUAAGCUACAGAUGUUUGUUAGUAAGUCUCAAUUGUUUAAUGGUUUUCUAUCAAUAAUUGCUCAAUGAUUUGCCUUACAAUUAUUUUCAAGAUCGAAAAACAGUCCUCUGCAAAGUUCAUACAGAAGUAUGUAUUUGUUUUUUUAUAUUUUUAUAACGCAUAUUUUUAUAUGCAUAAUGCAUGUAAUGCAUUAUGCAUGUAAUGCAUAAUGCACAUUUUUAUAUGCAUAAUGUAACACAUACAUGGAUUUGCUUAUAUACAGAGUGACAAAACCGUGUAUCCUGAUCACACAAGAAUAAAUAAUCACUAACUCACAACUUCUUUUGUCAUUUUUCCUUACCUGAUAACAUGAGAGGUCUAAUACAGAAUUUUCUGUCCUGGAUGUAAACUUUUCUGAGGCAUCCUUAAAAUUCUGGGGUCUCAGAAACAUUAUCAGCAUGAGACCACCAAAAAGAGACAAAGAGUUCAUUGAUCACAGGACAAAUGAAAAAAUUAUGACUGUCUUUUUUCUUUCUUUAGUGGAAUUUGAUCAGUUCUGGAAAUGGUCCUGGUUGGCAAAGUCAGUAGGCAUGUAUUUAAUGUUCGGCAUACAGUGAAGCACUUCACAGAGUAAGCCUGAAUUGAAGCACAUCUUCAAAAGAUUUCCUGGUACCUCUAGCAUCCAUCUGAAAAAAAAAA